RNAcentral lists this ribosomal RNA (450 nucleotides) under uncultured bacterium. Its description in RNAcentral is "bacterial SSU rRNA". It matches the Rfam family "Bacterial small subunit ribosomal RNA", at positions 329 to 795 of the family's 1533-position model. The record is from RNAcentral.
UCCCAGACUCCUACGGGAGGCAGCAGUGGGGAAUAUUGCACAAUGGGCGAAAGCCUGAUGCAGCAACGCCGCGUGAAGGAAGACGGUUUUCGGAUUGUAAACUUCUGUUCUUAGUGAAGAAUAAUGACGGUAACUAAGGAGCAAGCCACGGCUAACUACGUGCCAGCAGCCGCGGUAAUACGUAGGGGGCAAGCGUUAUCCGGAUUUACUGGGUGUAAAGGGAGCGUAGACGGCAGCACAAGUCUGGAGUGAAAUGCCGGGGCUUAACCCCGGAACUGCUUUGGAAACUGUGCAGCUAGAGUGCAGGAGAGGUAAGUGGAAUUCCUAGUGUAGCGGUGAAAUGCGUAGAUAUUAGGAGGAACACCAGUGGCGAAGGCGGCUUACUGGACUGUAACUGACGUUGAGGCUCGAAAGCGUGGGGAGCAAACAGGAUUAGAUACCCUUGUAGUG